UUGAAAGGGAAACGAUUGAAGUCAGUCGUACCGACGAAGAAUCAACUUUUGGAGUGCGAAUCGAGGUAUUCGAGGAGUUUAAAAGCCCUUGUGUGUUUCGUAUUCGUGCUUCUUGGGUGCUUUUCUUCGUAUGGUAGGUUAACAUCAAUUUUGGACGUUACAAAAUGAUCGGGGGAAUGUAGCUUCGAUUUUUUGAAGUGUUAUAGCCUUUGGUAGAUGUGAUGUUUGAGACCGAGGAUUGCAACGGAUACCCUUCAGGGCUAUUCGUCUGAUCUCUGAUACGUUGCCUUGAUGUUGAAAGCUCGCUUAUGAUGUUAGGGUAUUACGGUCAAAAGGUUAGAACGAAUUACAUUCGUUAAGGAUGUUGACGUA
RNAcentral lists this ribosomal RNA (372 nucleotides) under uncultured Glomeromycotina. Its description in RNAcentral is "LSU rRNA". Lineage: Eukaryota; Fungi; Glomeromycota. The record is from RNAcentral.